Molecule: RNase P RNA, 286 nt
Filed under: Candidatus Pacebacteria bacterium CG_4_10_14_0_8_um_filter_42_14
Lineage: Bacteria; Bacillati; Minisyncoccota
Description: RNase P RNA component class A
Rfam family: Bacterial RNase P class A
About the family: Ribonuclease P (RNase P) is a ubiquitous endoribonuclease, found in archaea, bacteria and eukarya as well as chloroplasts and mitochondria. Its best characterised activity is the generation of mature 5'-ends of tRNAs by cleaving the 5'-leader elements of precursor-tRNAs.
Source: RNAcentral
CUGUGCGACCGAGCGAUGGCUCUGAGGCGUUUACGUUUCAGAGAGGAAAGUCCGGACAGCAAAAUGUAGGGUGCCUUGUGAAAGCAGGGGAGUUGUCACUUGUGACAACGACAGUUAGAGCAACAGAGACGAGUCCCGCCUUUGGAGGGGGUGAAACGGGCAAUCCUCCCCGCUGCAACCAACGACCUUCACCAUAAUGGACACAUUUCCUUUUUCGGUGAUAAUGACAUGGGCAUAGAUAGAUCAUCGUUUCAAACAGAAUCCGGCUUAUGAGUCGCACAGUCUA